This is a small nucleolar RNA of Tachyglossus aculeatus (Australian echidna), 138 nucleotides long. Lineage: Eukaryota; Metazoa; Chordata; Mammalia; Monotremata; Tachyglossidae. The record is from RefSeq and is a predicted model, not a curated record.
UCCCUCACAGGGUUGCACCUGGAGAGUUUUCAGUACUCUACCGGUCUCGGCCAUAGGAGGGAGGGUCAAACAGAGGUAUACCCAUUCCAUUCCUAUCUCGGGCAGUGGUUAGCGAGUGGAAGGCAAUCUGCUACAAAU